Non-coding RNA from Anas platyrhynchos (mallard), 593 nucleotides. The record is from RefSeq and is a predicted model, not a curated record. NCBI's taxonomy places the organism in Eukaryota, Metazoa, Chordata, Aves, Anseriformes, Anatidae.
GUUGACUCCCCCAAUCCCCUGGGCAGCCCGUUUCAUUGCUUGACCACCAUCUCCGUGAAGAAUUCCUCCUGAUCUCUAAGCCUCCCUUGGUGCAACCUGAGGCCAUUGCCUCGCAACCUAUCACUUGCUACCUGUGAUAAAAGCCCAACACCCUCACUGCCACAUCCUUUCAGGUACCUGUAGACAGUGAUGAGGUCUCCCCUCACCCUCCUUUUCUCCAGACUAAACCACCCCAGUUCCCUCAUUAUCCUGCACUACAAACCUGGGCUGUAUGAAACGUCCCAGGUCUGACUGAAGCAUACCUUCUUGCAGAGCAUCCUGUCUUGCUCUACAGAACCAUCUCUCCUUGGUGAUGUGUUGUAAUGACCAGUUGCCUGCACUGUUAUAAAACUGGACUGAAUUUCUAAUUUAAUUUGCCUGUGUCCAGCUUCCAGCCACUGGAUCCUGUUGUUGUCUUUCUCCGCAAGCUGAGAGAAGUGAUGACUGCCUAGCAUUUUCUGCCUGGGAAAGCACUUGAAUGCUGUAAUCAAGUCACCUCUCACUUUUCUUGUUGACAAGCUGAACAGCUGGAACUCUACAUCUGUGACUGAAAA